RNAcentral lists this ribosomal RNA (211 nucleotides) under uncultured bacterium. Its description in RNAcentral is "partial 16S ribosomal RNA". It matches the Rfam family "Bacterial small subunit ribosomal RNA", at positions 524 to 733 of the family's 1533-position model. The record is from RNAcentral.
UACGUAGGGGCCAAGCGUUGUCCGGAUUUAUUGGGCGUAAAGAGCUCGUAGGCGGUUCGGCAAGUCAGGUGUGAAAUCUCCGCGCUCAACGCGGAGGGGUCACCUGAAACUGCUGUGACUAGAGUCCGGUAGGGGAGUGUGGAAUUCCAGGUGUAGCGGUGAAAUGCGUAGAUAUCUGGAGGAACACCGGUGGCGAAGGCGGCCCCCUCGG